GGCCUCGUAUCUCAGCUAGUAGAGCAUGCGCAUACAAAGCGUAGGUGGCGUCCAUGUGUGGGUUCAAAUCCCACCGAGGCUG
Echinostoma caproni is the source of this 82-nucleotide non-coding RNA. The record is from Rfam. NCBI's taxonomy places the organism in Eukaryota, Metazoa, Platyhelminthes, Trematoda, Plagiorchiida, Echinostomatidae.